GGACGAACGCUGGCGGCGUGCUUAACACAUGCAAGUCGAACGGAAAGGCCCUGCUUUUGUGGGGUGCUCGAGUGGCGAACGGGUGAGUAACACGUGAGUAACCUGCCCUUGACUUUGGGAUAACUUCAGGAAACUGGGGCUAAUACCGGAUAGGAGCUCCUGCUGCAUGGUGGGGGUUGGAAAGUUUCGGCGGUUGGGGAUGGGCUCGCGGCUUAUCAGCUUGUUGGUGGGGUAGUGGCUUACCAAGGCUUUGACGGGUAGCCGGCCUGAGAGGGUGACCGGCCACAUUGGGACUGAGAUACGGCCCAGACUCCUACGGGAGGCAGCAGUGGGGAAUAUUGCACAAUGGGCGGAAGCCUGAUGCAGCAACGCCGCGUGCGGGAUGACGGCCUUCGGGUUGUAAACCGCUUUCGCCUGUGACGAAGCGUGGGUGACGGUAAUGGGUAAAGAAGCACCGGCUAACUACGUG
RNAcentral lists this ribosomal RNA (469 nucleotides) under uncultured bacterium. RNAcentral describes it as "partial 16S ribosomal RNA". It matches the Rfam family "Bacterial small subunit ribosomal RNA", at positions 27 to 507 of the family's 1533-position model. The record is from RNAcentral.